Molecule: ribosomal RNA, 731 nt
Filed under: uncultured SAR86 cluster bacterium
Lineage: Bacteria; Pseudomonadati; Pseudomonadota; Gammaproteobacteria
Description: bacterial SSU rRNA
Rfam family: Bacterial small subunit ribosomal RNA
Source: RNAcentral
AGAGUUUGAUCCUGGCUCAGAUUGAACGCUGGCGGUAGGCUUAACACAUGCAAGUCGAGCGGUAACAGACAUUUUGAUUUUGCUUGCAAAAUCUCGCGCUGACGAGCGGCGAACGGGUGAGUAACGCGUAGGAAUCUACCUAGUAGAAGGGGAUAGCCCGAGGAAACUCGGAUUAAUACCGUAUACGUCCUUAGGGAGAAAGAGGGCUUAGCUUUGAUGCUCUCGCUAUUAGAUGAGCCUGCGUAAGAUUAGCUUGUUGGUGAGGUAAAGGCUCACCAAGGCGACGAUCUUUAGCUGGUCUGAGAGGACGAUCAGCCACAUUGGGACUGAGACACGGCCCAGACUCCUACGGGAGGCAGCAGUGGGGAAUAUUGGACAAUGGGCGCAAGCCUGAUCCAGCCAUACCGCGUGUGUGAAGAAGGCCUUCGGGUUGUAAAGCACUUUAAGUAAGGAAGAAAAGAGUAUUGUUAAUACCAUUACUCCGUGACAUUACUUACAGAAUAAGGACCGGCUAAUUCCGUGCCAGCAGCCGCGGUAAUACGGAAGGUCCAAGCGUUAAUCGGAAUUACUGGGCGUAAAGCGCGCGUAGGUGGUUUAUUAAGUUGGGUGUGAAAGCCCCGGGCUCAACCUGGGAACUGCAUCCAAAACUGAUUCACUAGAGUACGAAAGAGGAAAGUAGAAUUCACAGUGUAGCGGUGGAAUGCGUAGAUAUUGUGAAGAAUACCGAUGGC